UGCCUGGCCAGGACGAAGUCAGGGGAAACCCUGAUGGAGGUCCGUAGCGAUUCUGACGUGCAAAUCGAUCGUCGGAGCUGGGUAUAGGGGCGAAAGACUAAUCGAACCAUCUAGUAGCUGGUUCCCUCCGAAGUUUCCCUCAGGAUAGCUUGCGCUCGGAGUCGAGUCUCAUCCGGUAAAGCGAAUGAUUAGAGGCCUUGGGGCCGAAACGGCUUCAACCUAUUCUCAAACUUUAAAUGGGUGAGAGCUCCGGCUUGCUCGAUUAACGAAGCCGGAGGCUGGAUCGGAGUGCCUAGUGGGCCACUUUUGGUAAGCAGAACUGGCGCUGUGGGAUGAACCAAACGACGGGUUAAGGCGCCCGAAUCGACGCUCAUGGGAAACCAUGAAAGGUGUUGGUUGCUUAAGACAGCAGGACGGUGGCCAUGGAAGUCGGAAUCCGCUAAGGAGUGUGUAAUAACUCACCUGCCGAAGCAACUAGCCCUGAAAAUGGAUGGCGCUGAAGCGUCGUGCCUAUACCCGGCCGUCGCGGCGGGGCGGAUUCGUUCCGUUCGAUGCUGCGACGAGUAGGAGGGUCGCGGCGGCGUGCGCAGAAGGGUCUGGGCUCGAGCCUGCCUGGAGCCGCCGCCGGUGCAGAUCUUGGUGGUAGUAGCAAAUACUCCAGCGAGGCCCUGGAGGACUGAUGUGGAGAAGGGUUUCGUGUGAACAGCCGUUGCACACGAGUCAGUCGAUCCUAAGCCCUAGGAGAAAUCCGACGCCUACGGCGACGGGAAAAAUUUUUGAAAAAUCAACCCGUUGAUCGGGCGAAAGGGAAUCCGGUUCCUAUUCCGGAACCCGGCAGCGGAACCGCUGUUUGUCGGGCCCUCACAAGGGGUUCGUCAGGGUAACCUAAAAGGGCCCGGAGACGCCGUCGGGAGCCCCGGAAAGAGUUUUCUUUUCUGCAUGAGCGUUCGAGUUCCCUGGAAUCCUCUCGCAGGGAGAUAGGGUUUGGAACGCGAAGAGCACCGCAGUUGCGGCGGUGCCCGGGAAUUCCCGACGGACCUUGAAAAUCCGGGAGAGGGCCACGUGGAGGUGUCGCGCCGGCUCGUACCCAUAUCCGCAGCAGGUCUCCAA
This 1110-nucleotide ribosomal RNA is filed under the name Hesperagrion sp. OD028. Its description in RNAcentral is "eukaryotic LSU rRNA". It matches the Rfam family "Eukaryotic large subunit ribosomal RNA", at positions 834 to 1870 of the family's 3401-position model. Lineage: Eukaryota; Metazoa; Arthropoda; Insecta; Odonata; Coenagrionidae. The record is from RNAcentral.